This 673-nucleotide ribosomal RNA is filed under the name Bacillus licheniformis. RNAcentral describes it as "bacterial SSU rRNA". It matches the Rfam family "Bacterial small subunit ribosomal RNA", at positions 56 to 710 of the family's 1533-position model. The record is from RNAcentral. Lineage: Bacteria; Bacillati; Bacillota; Bacilli; Caryophanales; Bacillaceae.
UGCAAGUCGAGCGGACCGACGGGAGCUUGCUCCCUUAGGUCAGCGGCGGACGGGUGAGUAACACGUGGGUAACCUGCCUGUAAGACUGGGAUAACUCCGGGAAACCGGGGCUAAUACCGGAUGCUUGAUUGAACCGCAUGGUUCCAUCCUAAAAGGGGGCUUUUAACUACCACUUACCGAUGGACCCGCGGCGCAUUAACUAGUUGGUGAGGGAACGGCUCCCCCAGGGGACGAUGCGUAACCGACCUGAAAGGGUGAUCGGCCCCCCUGGGACUGAAACCCGGCCCAAACUCCUACGGGAGGGAGCAGUAGGGAAUCUUCCGCAAUGGACGAAAGUCUGACGGAACAACGCCGCGUGAGUGAUGAAGGGUUUCCGAUCGUAAAACUCUGGUGUUAGGGAAGAACAAGUACCGUUCGAAUAGGGCGGUACCUUGACGGUACCUAACCAGAAAGCCACGGCUAACUACGUGCCAGCAGCCGCGGUAAUACCUAAGUGGCAAGCGUUGUCCGGAAUUAUUGGGCGUAAAGCGCGCGCAGGCGGUUUCUUAAGUCUGAUGUGAAAGCCCCCGGCUCAACCGGGGAGGGUCAUUGGAAACUGGGGAACUUGAGUGCAGAAGAGGAGAGUGGAAUUUCACGUGUAGCGGUGAAAUGCGUAGAGAUGUGGAGGAACACC